This 89-nucleotide transfer RNA is filed under the name Bacillus thuringiensis. RNAcentral describes it as "tRNA-Ser". It matches the Rfam family "tRNA". From Rfam's summary of the family: Transfer RNA (tRNA) molecules are approximately 80 nucleotides in length. The record is from RNAcentral. Lineage: Bacteria; Bacillati; Bacillota; Bacilli; Caryophanales; Bacillaceae.
GGAGAGGUACUCAAGAGGCUCAAGAGGCUUCCCUGCUAAGGAAGUAGGACGCAUUGUGCGUUGCGUGGGUUCGAAUCCCACCCUCUCCA